GUAGGUGUAGUUUUAACAAAAACAUUAGAUUGUGGUUCUAAAAAUAGGGGUUAAAGCCCCCUCACCCACC
Molecule: transfer RNA, 70 nt
Filed under: Listrura aff. nematopteryx AK-2020
Lineage: Eukaryota; Metazoa; Chordata; Actinopteri; Siluriformes; Trichomycteridae
Description: tRNA-His
Rfam family: tRNA
About the family: Transfer RNA (tRNA) molecules are approximately 80 nucleotides in length.
Source: RNAcentral